This 253-nucleotide ribosomal RNA is filed under the name uncultured bacterium. Its description in RNAcentral is "partial 16S ribosomal RNA". It matches the Rfam family "Bacterial small subunit ribosomal RNA", at positions 524 to 776 of the family's 1533-position model. The record is from RNAcentral.
UACGUAGGGGGCAAGCGUUGUCCGGAAUUAUUGGGCGUAAAGAGCUCGUAGGCGGCUUGUCGCGUCGACUGUGAAAACCCGGGGCUUAACUUCGGGCUUGCAGUCGAUACGGGCAGGCUGGAGUUCGGUAGGGGAGACUGGAAUUCCUGGUGUAGCGGUGAAAUGCGCAGAUAUCAGGAGGAACACCGGUGGCGAAGGCGGGUCUCUGGGUAGUAACUGACGCUGAGGAACGAAAGCGUGGGUAGCGAACAGG